GGAAGGAGUCAUGCUGUUGGAGGAAUGAAGAAGUACAAAGCCAUAUGAGGUGCAUGGAAGGAGGUCCUGAGUGGUCUCGGUGCCACUAGAUGGGACAGAACACCACACACAGGAGGUGUGUGGGUUACACUUUACCUUGGAAUGAAAUUGCCAACCUUAAAAAAGCUCCAACUAGUUCAGAAGAGAGUAGCUCACUUACUCAGCAACAGGGGCCACUGAGAUCACAUCAUCCUGGUGCUGCUGUGCUCUUUUCCCUAGAUCACCACUGAAUAACACGUUGUAGUCAAGGUUUUUAUCAUCAGGGCUGGGCAAGCAGGGGAGUUGCCCUGAGCAACCCCUUUCAGGGGACACUACAUUGUUAUGCCGUCAAAAAUGUUUUCCACCUGGACAGCAAAAUGACUAGGACCAGCCUCCUGUUUAUAAUCUUCUUUAAAGCUCUCCAUGGGACUAACCCAAGUUACUGCUCCAUCCUGUGUGAUCAUUGUUUGUUUGUGUUACACUAAGCAUAUAGAGGCUCCAACUGAGAUUUAGGCCUCCUUUUGUACUAGGCACUGUGUACAGACAUAAUGAGACAGUCUCUGUCCUGGAGAGCUCAUAAUCUAACAAUGAGCGGGAGAAAGGAAGAAUUAUAACCCUAGUCUGCAGACAGCAAACUGAGGUACAGAGACAUUAAGUGACUUGCCAUGUCACUCAAGAAGUGUGUGGUAGAAUGGGGAUUGAGCCUAGGUUUCUUGAGUCCUCAUCCAGAUCUUAAGCACAAGGCUAUCCUUCUGCUCACAAGCACCACUGAUAGCUAUUUUCUGCUGGAACAAUGGAACUUGCAUCCUCAAGGAAAAAACCUAUGUAUCCAGAAGACAGGACUGUUUUAGCAACUGGUCUGCAACUGUGGCUUCCAUGAACCUCAGGGCUUUCAGAACAAAAUGCAAGAUCUAUUUAUUUUACAGAGCCUUGCCACAGUAAUCCCACCAGAAUCUCAUAUUUAAAACAACAACAAAAAAAGUCCCUACAGAAUGGAAGAAAGAGACAGAAAAAGAUAGAGAUCUUCUUGUAUUUACAAACAUAAAUUUGUAAGGUAUUCAGAUACAAUAAGAAUUGGCAUCAUGUAAGAAGACAGAUAGAUGUUCUGCCAUUAUAAUUUAAUUUGUUUCAAUACACUUUCUAUUGCCAGUGUUAUCUCUUAUCUAGGAAAUGUCGUACUAAAUUACUAUUCAAGAUUCCUUUUGCAUGUCUUACAAUUCUUUCUCUUCCUGGUGAUAUCUGGGAGCAUCUUUCAAAGUUCUCCUAAAACAGGUUAACACAAUAUUCUUUGCAUCUUUUAUUGUGAGUUUUUAUGCAUUUCCGGUGGCAGUAGGCCUACACAUCAUAGGCAAAAGAGAUUAGAUUAAAUGUGACUAUCAAACACUUCUCUGUAGGUGGGCCUGAUCCUACCCUGCCCUUUAUUUAAAUGGGAGCAGUAUUAAGCUUAAUAUUUGUACCAUAUAGAAAAAUUUUCAUUCCGUAAUACAAGGGAUGGCAAAUCAAAUUAGAGGUAAUACAUUUAAAAAGGAUCAAAGGAAGUAAUCUUAUAUGCAACAUGUAACUCCAUUGUGAAACUAAAUGGACUUGUGAUAUAAGGAACAAAAGAGAGAAGUCAAUGUUGACGUUGUCCUUUUCUGCUAGGAAAAGAAAGGGAACUGCAAAACUGUACAGUAAUUUAUAAGAUUUAGGAAUGUAUUGAAGGUUUAUUAUAUUUUCACUGAGGUAAGACUAAAUGAUCCUCUGAAAUUUGAGCUGGAAUAGAGAAAAUGAUAAAAACAAUUGAUUCUUUGUAAGUAGAUAAAUGAGUGUGUUCAUAUUUUGUGUGUUCAUUACUUACAACAUUUACACAUUUAUGAAUAAGUAUGGCAGAUCUGUUUAUAUGCAUUGAUUAGCUGUAUGUUCUUUCAGUAACUCUUCCUGUCAUACUUGCCUGUACUGUACUUUUGGUCUGUCACCUAAAUGAUUACAUAACUGUUAAUACCUUCCCUUUUGGGGAAUAAAUUUAGUGUUUGUGA
Molecule: long non-coding RNA, 2033 nt
Organism: Mauremys reevesii (Reeves's turtle)
Lineage: Eukaryota; Metazoa; Chordata; Testudines; Geoemydidae
Exons: 2
Source: RefSeq, a predicted model, not a curated record